UUCGCUGCCUGGCACUCUGGGAAAAGGGGGGGGGGAAAUCCCCGGAAAAACAGGGGGUGCUUCCCCGGAAAAAUCUUCCCCGUAUGCUUUUCGAAGAAAGUCGGAGUUUGUACGGGGAAGUCCUUACGGGGAAGUUCUUACGGGCAAGUGAAGCCCUUUUACGGGAAAGUUCAGCACCCGAACGGGAAAGUUUUGGGAGCUGCUAACACACUCAGGAUCCACACUGUACACCACGCAAUACUGCGUUAUCCUUUUACGACACCGGCCACACACCUGCUCCUCGUUGACAAGUCCAUUACGCUCAUGCAACACUACACCAAACCUCGUAUGAUGUCUGCCUUAUAUGUAUGCGUGCAAACUCUAACGUGCAACAAUGCCUAGCGCCAUCACUUGCGUGUCUGCUGGGUACAAUGCAUCCGACAACCUUGAUGCCCACCUCCACCGCAGCCGCCAUAUCUUCCUACGACCAAACUCCGUCCUUGGCACCAUCAUGCCCGCCUCCACCCCUUGUGCUGCUGGACCAGCUGCUGCCCAUGCCGGAUCCUUAGUUGCGCCUCCACUGCCUGCUUGUUGGCUGUGUUACAUGGUUGCGCCUGCAUGCACGCGGCCACACAUAUAUGUUACAGCUAGCCACAAACGGCAGAGACGACACCUUGCAGCCAAAGUCAGGGAGGCAGCGUAUAAGAUAGAGACAAAAGCCCUGUGCAUGCAGGGUUGCCAGGGAACCACCUUACGGGCACCUCAGCAUCUCCGUCAUGCUUCACACCGAUUUACCCCGCCACCUCCCACCAACACACACAACGACGCACAAAGACUGCGUCUAUGUAUGCCAACAUGUGUUGCGGACACUCACAGUUGCUGGGCACAAUGUUGGAGGUGUAGUGGCAGUCAGCCAGCCGUCUGGGGGACCGAACCGGAGGGAAAAAGCAGGGGUUGGGUGUGCGAUGGGACAGGGUUGGGUACCAAGGUGUGGCAGGGCAGGGUAGCGGGCGGGUAUGCGACAUGGGAUUAAGGUAUCAUGGCAAGGUAGCCACACAUAUAUGUUACUGCUCGUCAUUCCUCUGCCACAAAUGGCAGAGACGACACAUUGCGGCCAAGGUCAGGGAGGCAGUGUAUAAGAGGCAAGAGCCCUGUGCACGCAGGGUUGCCAGGGAAUCACCUUCAGCCACCUCAGCAUCUCCGUCAUGCUUCACACCGAUUUACCCCGCCACCUCCCACCAACACACAACGACGCACAAAGACUGCGUCUGUGUAUGCCAACAUGUGUUGCGGACACUCACCGUUGCUGGGCACAAUGUUGGAGGUGUAGUGGCAGUCAGCCAGCCGUCUGGGGGACCGAUCCGGAGGGGAAGCAACAGGGGUUGGGCGCCAAGGUGUGGCGGGGCAGGGCAGCGGGCGGGUACAUGACAUGGGAUUCAGGUAUCAUGGCAAGGUAGCCAUAGAUUCCAACACCUUGCAGGCAGGCAGGUAGGCAGCAAACAGUCAUUUGUUGAAGCCCCCCUCCCCCCACCACACGCACACACAUAGCGCGAGGAGGUGGACUUCAGCCACCUAAGCCGCCUACGGCCCAGCACCUACAACAACUCCCUAAACCCAUCUCAUUAACUCACCCCAAAGAGCUCCUGAAACCGUUCCCAAGAGUGAGAGGUUGAAUCCUGCACAACACACAAGACACGCGGGGUUGACGGGGGGCGGGCGGGCAGUCGCCGCAACAUGUGUUCUUAACGCAUCCCAUUGUCAUUGCAACCUAUCGACUAACCUGCGGAUGAACGUGUGUUGGUUGUUGCCGGUAGUGUUGCAGAGCCAUGUUGGAUGGCAAUGACGCCCGCGCGGGCGACCGAGAAGACAAACUUUGAAGCAAAGCUGAUAGAAACGGAUGCUGACUCGUAAACCUUACGUGACGGCUGGCUUCAGCUGACGUCUGAGCAGCGUCGCCGAGCCGGUCAACGAGUCAGCAGCGCAAGAAUUCGUGGCCCCAGCCAGCAAAGUAGCUACUGACAUUUGAGCUAGUCUUAACUUUUGUUCAAAACGCAAAUUAGCGAGGGAGAGUGGAGCAAGGGACAGCGACAUAAGUGCAACAGCUGCAGAAGAGCUGAGCUCUUGCCGAGACAAAAUGCAGUGUAUCAAGUGUAAGUAGGUACUAUAUUUAUGUAUGCUACAAUAUUUAUGUAAGUUAACACGCUUGUUGCUUGAAGUCAGGCUCGCGAAACCCCAUGCAGAUGCUCGCCGGUCGCCUCUUCUCGCC
RNAcentral lists this long non-coding RNA (2245 nucleotides) under Chlamydomonas reinhardtii. RNAcentral describes it as "long non-coding RNA (CREI_LNC000553)". The record is from RNAcentral. Lineage: Eukaryota; Viridiplantae; Chlorophyta; Chlorophyceae; Chlamydomonadales; Chlamydomonadaceae.